AGAGCGAACGCUGGCGGCAGGCCUAAUACAUGCAAGUCGAACGGAUCCUUCGGGAUUAGUGGCGGACGGGUGAGUAACACGUGGGAACGUGCCCUUUGGUUCGGAACAACUCAGGGAAACUUGAGCUAAUACCGAAUGUGCCCUUCGGGGGAAAGAUUUAUCGCCAUUGGAGCGGCCCGCGUCUGAUUAGCUAGUUGGUGGGGUAAAGGCCCACCAAGGCGACGAUCAGUAGCUGGUCUGGGAGGAUGAUCAGCCACACUGGGACUGAGACACGGCCCAGACUCCUACGGGAGGCAGCAGUAGGGAAUCUUGCGCAAUGGGCGAAAGCCUGACGCAGCCAUGCCGCGUGAAUGAUGAAGGUCUUAGGAUUGUAAAAUUCUUUCAGCGGGACGAUAAUGACGGUACCGCAGAAGAAGCCCGGCUAACUUCGUGCCAGCAGCCGC
This 443-nucleotide ribosomal RNA is filed under the name uncultured bacterium. RNAcentral's name for it is "SSU rRNA". It matches the Rfam family "Bacterial small subunit ribosomal RNA", at positions 26 to 518 of the family's 1533-position model. The record is from RNAcentral.